This 492-nucleotide ribosomal RNA is filed under the name uncultured bacterium. RNAcentral's name for it is "partial 16S ribosomal RNA". It matches the Rfam family "Bacterial small subunit ribosomal RNA", at positions 29 to 507 of the family's 1533-position model. The record is from RNAcentral.
AGUGAACGCUGGCGGUAGGCCUAACACAUGCAAGUCGAACGGCAGCACAGUAAGAGCUUGCUCUUACGGGUGGCGAGUGGCGGACGGGUGAGGAAUACAUCGGAAUCUACUUUUUCGUGGGGGAUAACGUCGGGAAACUUACGCUAAUACCGCAUACGACCUACGGGUGAAAGCAGGGGAUCUUCGGACCUUGCGCGAUUGAAUGAGCCGAUGUCGGAUUAGCUAGUUGGCGGGGUAAAGGCCCACCAAGGCGACGAUCCGUAGCUGGUCUGAGAGGAUGAUCAGCCACACUGGAACUGAGACACGGUCCAGACUCCUACGGGAGGCAGCAGUGGUGAAUAUUGGACAAUGGGCGCAAGCCUGAUCCAGCCAUACCGCGUGGGUGAAGAAGGCCUUCGGGUUGUAAAGCCCUUUUGUUGGGAAAGAAAAGCAGCAGGUUAAUACCCCGCUGUUCUGACGUUACCCAAAGAAUAAGCGCCGGCUAACUUCGUG